This 74-nucleotide transfer RNA is filed under the name Desulfuromonas sp. RNAcentral describes it as "tRNA-Cys". It matches the Rfam family "tRNA". Rfam says of the family: Transfer RNA (tRNA) molecules are approximately 80 nucleotides in length. Their secondary structure includes four short double-helical elements and three loops (D, anti-codon, and T loops). The record is from RNAcentral. Lineage: Bacteria; Pseudomonadati; Thermodesulfobacteriota; Desulfuromonadia; Desulfuromonadales; Desulfuromonadaceae.
GGCCCCGUCGCCAAGUGGUAAGGCAGAGGUCUGCAAAACCUCCAUCACCAGUGCGAAUCUGGUCGGGGCCUCCA